CCGAAGCUAUGAACCGAAGCCCCAGUAAACGGCGGCCGUAACUAUAACGGUCCUAAGGUAGCGAAAUUCCUUGUCAGGUAAAUUCUGACCCGCACGAAUGGCGUAACGACUUGGGCGCUGUCUCAACGAGAGAUCCGGUGAAAUUUUAAUACCUGUGAAGAUGCAGGUUACCCGCGACAAGACGGAAAGACCCCAUGGAGCUUUACUGCAGCUUGAUAUUGAAUUUGGGUACGAUCUGUACAGGAUAGGUGGGAGCCGUAGAAAUCGGAGCGCAAGCUUCGGUGGAGGCGCCGUUGGGAUACCACCCUGAUCGUAUCUAGGUUCUAACCUAGUACCCUUACCGGGUACGGGGACCGUGUCAGGCGGGCAGUUUGACUGGGGCGGUCGCCUCCUAAAGAGUAACGGAGGCG
RNAcentral lists this ribosomal RNA (410 nucleotides) under Paenibacillus etheri. Its description in RNAcentral is "bacterial LSU rRNA". It matches the Rfam family "Bacterial large subunit ribosomal RNA", at positions 1899 to 2308 of the family's 2925-position model. The record is from RNAcentral. Lineage: Bacteria; Bacillati; Bacillota; Bacilli; Caryophanales; Paenibacillaceae.